Long non-coding RNA from Armigeres subalbatus, 1605 nucleotides. RefSeq lists it as uncharacterized. The record is from RefSeq and is a predicted model, not a curated record. The transcript has 4 exons. NCBI's taxonomy places the organism in Eukaryota, Metazoa, Arthropoda, Insecta, Diptera, Culicidae.
GUCAGUCAGUCAGUACGGUAGGCAUCCUCGCGGCAGUACACCUCUGCACCGAUCAAGUUUCGCGAACAAGAAACGGGUGGAAACAAAAACCCCAAACGAACGGAAUCUGGCCGAAGACAGAAAAACACCGGCCUAGCAAGUGUUCCUCCACGUUGGAAACAAGCGUCAAAGAAAUCGGAUUCUUCCACCGCAUGGAAACGCGAAAGUGAAUUCCAAUCGGAAACUCUUGCAAGGCUGCAGGAAACAAAAGCGCGAGGAUUGCUUUAAAACGGUCGAGGUAGGACACAUAAAGUCAUCACCAUCAACAACACCCAAAGAAGCCUUCUAAAAAGAAGGCUUCUUUAACAGACAUUAUCUACCGUACUGGCAUCGGAUUUGAAGUAAACAGUGCCCGCACGUCGUUCGAGGCAUCGGGCAGUAGAUCGACGUGCAGCGGCCCACGCGGGUAGGAGAAAGUAAACAGCACCCUCACGUCGUUCGAGGCAGCGGGCAGUAGAUCGACGUGUAGCGGUCCACGCGAGAAGAGUAGGAGAAGGCAAACAACGCCCCCACGUCGUUCGAGGCAGCGGGCAGUAGAUCGACGUGGAGUGACACGUGUGCAGGAUCGACAUUCCAGCGUCCUAUUUCGUCAGACGGUGACAACGAGGACAAAUAGGAGAAGCGUAAACAAGUCAUCGUAGUUGGGGCACGGAGCCGAGCGAGUGUUUAGCCACAAAGUGGCGUUCUGAAAGAUCGCGUUAUCGAACGCAUUUCUGCAUGCUGAAACCCCUUCGCACGUAUGCGGAGAACUCUCAACGGGGCCCCGUUCAUCGACAGCAGUACAGCAGAGCAUCAGUCGUGUCAACAAGGUACCUUAGUUUUAAGUAGCGUAAGAAUGAGCACUCGUAAAGAAUAUAUUUGUAACAAUGCAUAUGUUAUGCUAGUAUUUUGUUAACCGUGUCCCAUUGACUGCACGAGUACCUUAUGAACCAGUACAAGUUGCUUAGCCGGGCAUGAUCUUUGAAUGCAAUAGGUCUCGCCCACUCAAUAGGCAUUCCUGUGUGCAAUGUCAGCAUUUGAGCGAUAAAUAAAUUUAGUUACAAAUGAAAAUAAGAAAAACGUUAUACUUGGUACUAAACGACACGUACAUUAAAACAUGGUUAUACUAUAACAGUUCUGAUUCCCCAGCAAACAAAAUCAACUACACUGAUGAAAAUAAAAAUUUGAUUUAAAUAAUUACUUUCAUUUGUUUGCAGAAGGCAUUAGCAAUUAAAGAUGCACAAUCAGCAAUAGUGUUAAUAUCCAUUUUAGCUUAGACAAUUUCGCUGUAUUAUUUGUAAAUGUUUUAAAAAAGUUCACAAAAAAAUAUUUCCAAUAGAAUAUUUAAAUAAACUUUAUCUUAUUCUUUGUUUUGCAUUUUCUGAGAAAUUGUAUUUAUAAACUUGACGUAGACUUAAUAAACUUGACGUAGAGUUUGGAAUCAAAACAUUGAAUAUUUUUUCGUUGACGUAUUAGCAGUACCUCCUCUAUUUUAGUAGUAGAUCUGAAAAUGUUAUAAAUAGAUUUUUGAAACUUCAAAUACUAUCAUUAAUAAAAAAAUUAUAAAUGACCUUCAUUUGCUUGAGU